AUGGUGGACUUGAGUGCGCCACUUGAUGAUUUUGAACGGGAAUGCAACCGCAAGCCGAGCCCUAUCCGGAGAUGGGAGGAGAGGGUUGACGUCGAUGACGAAGUGGAAGAGCAUGAUGAGGAGUUUGAUGCUAGCCAAGCCAAUUUCAGGAGAAGGACCGGAAACUACACCGAGGUGGAGGACACUUGCUUGAUUCGAGCAUGGGAGAGUGUGUCUCUCGAUGCGGUGACCGACAAAGAUCAAAAUGGCAAGAAGUAUUGGCAACGUAUUGAAGACAAAUAUCACAAGAUUGUGCCGGUUCCUUGA
This 306-nucleotide ribosomal RNA is filed under the name Triticum aestivum (bread wheat). Its description in RNAcentral is "partial small subunit ribosomal RNA". Lineage: Eukaryota; Viridiplantae; Streptophyta; Magnoliopsida; Poales; Poaceae. The record is from RNAcentral.